AUGCCUAGGAAAUUGCCUUGAUGUGGGGGAUAACCAUUGGAAACGAUGGCUAACACCGCAUAAUGCCUACGGGCCAAAGAGGGGGAUCUUCGGACCUCUCGCGUCAAGAUAUGCCUAGGUGGGAUUAGCUAGUUGGUGAGGUAAUGGCUCACCAAGGCGACGAUCCCUAGCUGGUCUGAGAGGAUGAUCAGCCACUCUGGAACUGAUACACGGUCCAGACUCCUACGGGAGGCAGCAGUGGGGAAUAUUGCACAAUGGGCGAAAGCCUGAUGCAUCCAUGCCGCGUGUAUGAAGAAGGCCUUCGGGUUGUAAAGUACUUUCAGUUGUGAGGAAGGGUGUGUAGUUAAUAGCUGCGCAUCUUGACGUUAGCAACAGAAGAAGCACCGGCUAACUCCGUGCCAGCAGCCGCGGUAAUACGGAGGGUGCGAGCGUUAAUCGGAAUUACUGGGCGUAAAGCGCAUGCAGGUGGUUCAUUAAGUCAGAUGUGAAAGCCCGGGGCUCAACCUCGGAACUGCAUUUGAAACUGGUGAACUAGAUGCUGUAGAGGGGGGUAGAAUUUCACGUGUAGCGGUGAAAUGCGUAGAGAUCUGAAGGAUACCA
RNAcentral lists this ribosomal RNA (600 nucleotides) under Vibrio sp. IF59AM. RNAcentral's name for it is "bacterial SSU rRNA". It matches the Rfam family "Bacterial small subunit ribosomal RNA", at positions 113 to 711 of the family's 1533-position model. The record is from RNAcentral. Lineage: Bacteria; Pseudomonadati; Pseudomonadota; Gammaproteobacteria; Vibrionales; Vibrionaceae.